This 613-nucleotide ribosomal RNA is filed under the name Salmonella enterica. Its description in RNAcentral is "partial 23S ribosomal RNA". It matches the Rfam family "Bacterial large subunit ribosomal RNA", at positions 2190 to 2802 of the family's 2925-position model. Lineage: Bacteria; Pseudomonadati; Pseudomonadota; Gammaproteobacteria; Enterobacterales; Enterobacteriaceae. RNAcentral also lists the same sequence under 4 other names. The record is from RNAcentral.
CCUUGAAAUACCACCCUUUAAUGUUUGAUGUUCUAACGUGGACCCGUUACCCGGGUUGCGGACAGUGUCUGGUGGGUAGUUUGACUGGGGCGGUCUCCUCCUAAAGAGUAACGGAGGAGCACGAAGGUUGGCUAAUCCUGGUCGGACAUCAGGAGGUUAGUGCAAUGGCAUAAGCCAGCUUGACUGCGAGCGUGACGGCGCGAGCAGGUGCGAAAGCAGGUCAUAGUGAUCCGGUGGUUCUGAAUGGAAGGGCCAUCGCUCAACGGAUAAAAGGUACUCCGGGGAUAACAGGCUGAUACCGCCCAAGAGUUCAUAUCGACGGCGGUGUUUGGCACCUCGAUGUCGGCUCAUCACAUCCUGGGGCUGAAGUAGGUCCCAAGGGUAUGGCUGUUCGCCAUUUAAAGUGGUACGCGAGCUGGGUUUAGAACGUCGUGAGACAGUUCGGUCCCUAUCUGCCGUGGGCGCUGGAGAACUGAGGGGGGCUGCUCCUAGUACGAGAGGACCGGAGUGGACGCAUCACUGGUGUUCGGGUUGUCAUGCCAAUGGCACUGCCCGGUAGCUAAAUGCGGAAGAGAUAAGUGCUGAAAGCAUCUAAGCACGAAACUUGCCCCGA